UGAGUACGAGCUGCUACGGCAGCGAAGUGGGUGAUGUCAAGCUUCCAAGAAAAGCCCUAUACCCGUUAAGGCAUGAUGGCCUGUACCCGAAACCGACACAGGUGGGGUGGUAGAGAAUACCGAGGGGCGCGAGGUAACUCUCUCUAAGGAACUCGGCAAAAUGGCCCCGUAACUUCGGGAGAAGGGGUGCCACCGCAAGGUGGUCGCAGUGAAGAGGCCCAGGCGACUGUUUACCAAAAACACAGGUCUCCGCUAAGUCGCAAGACGAUGUAUGGGGGCUGACGCCUGCCCAGUGCCGGAAGGUUAAGGAAGCUGGUCAGCGCAAGCGAAGCUGGCGACUGAAGCCCCGGUGAACGGCGGCCGUAGCUAUAACGGUCCUAAGGUAGCGAAAUUCCUUGUCGGGUAAGUUCCGACCCGCACGAAAGGCGUAACGAUCUGGGCGCUGUCUCGGAGAGAGGCUCGGCGAAAUUGAAUUGUCUGUGAAGAUGCGGACUACGUGCACCCGGACAGAAAGACCCUAUGAAGCUUUACUGUAGCUUGGUAUUGUGCCCGGGCUCUGAAUGCGCAGGAUAGGUGGGAGGCUUUGAUCCAUUGCUUGUGGGUGAUGGUGAGCCACUGGUGAGAUACCACUCUUUCAGAGCUAGGGUUCUAACGGUCACCCGUUAUCCGGGGACCGGACAGUAUCAGGUGGGCAGUUUGACUUGGGCGGUCGCCUCCUAAAAGGUAACGGAGGCGCGCAAAGGUUCCCUCAGGCUGGUUGGAAAUCAGCCGACGAGUGUAAAGGCAGAAGGGAGCUUGACUGUGAGACCUACAAGUCGAACAGGGACGAAAGUCGGCCUUAGUGAUCCGACGGUUCUGAGUGGAAGGGCCGUCGCUCAACGGAUAAAAGUUACUCUAGGAUAACAGGCUGAUCUCCCCCAAGAGUUCACAUCGACGGGGAGGUUUGGCACCUCGAUGUCGGCUCAUCGCAACCUGGGGCUGAAGUCGGUCCCAAGGGUUGGGCUGUUCGCCCAUUAAAGCGGUACGCGAGCUGGGUUCAGAACGUCGUGAGACAGUUCGGUCCAUAUCCGGUGCACGCGCAGGAACAUUGAGAGGAUUUCUCCCUAGUACGAGAGGACCGGGAGGAACGCACCUCUGGUGUACCAGUUAUCGUGCCAACGGUAAACGCUGGGUAGCCAUGUGCGGAGUGGAUAACCGCUGAAAGCAUCUAAGUGGGAAGCCCACCUCAAGAUGAGUGUUCCCAUGGCAUAAGCCAGUAAGGUCACGGGAAGAACACCCGUUGAUAGGCUCUACGUGGAAGCGUGGCAACACGUGAAGCGGAGGAGUACUAAUAGACCGAGGGCUUGACC
Molecule: ribosomal RNA, 1349 nt
Filed under: metagenome
Description: bacterial LSU rRNA
Rfam family: Bacterial large subunit ribosomal RNA
Source: RNAcentral